UGACUCACCAUCUUUCCAAUGUCUAUAUGGU
Molecule: non-coding RNA, 31 nt
Filed under: Mus musculus (house mouse)
Lineage: Eukaryota; Metazoa; Chordata; Mammalia; Rodentia; Muridae
Source: RNAcentral